GGGCAAUGGGCGGCGUGCUAUACAUGCAAGUCGAACGAACUCUGGUAUUGAUUGGUGCUUGCAUCAUGAUUUACAUUUGAGUGAGUGGCGAACUGGUGAGUAACACGUGGGAAACCUGCCCAGAAGCGGGGGAUAACACCUGGAAACAGAUGCUAAUACCGCAUAACAACUUGGACCGCAUGGUCCGAGUUUGAAAGAUGGCUUCGGCUAUCACUUUUGGAUGGUCCCGCGGCGUAUUAGCUAGAUGGUGGGGUAACGGCUCACCAUGGCAAUGAUACGUAGCCGACCUGAGAGGGUAAUCGGCCACAUUGGGACUGAGACACGGCCCAAACUCCUACGGGAGGCAGCAGUAGGGAAUCUUCCACAAUGGACGAAAGUCUGAUGGAGCAACGCCGCGUGAGUGAAGAAGGGUUUCGGCUCGUAAAACUCUGUUGUUAAAGAAGAACAUAUCUGAGAGUAACUGUUCAGGUAUUGACGGUAUUUAACCAGAAAGCCACGGCUAACUACGUGCCAGCAGCCGCGGUAAUACGUAGGUGGCAAGCGUUGUCCGGAUUUAUUGGGCGUAAAGCGAGCGCAGGCGGUUUUUUAAGUCUGAUGUGAAAGCCUUCGGCUCAACCGAAGAAGUGCAUCGGAAACUGGGAAACUUGAGUGCAGAAGAGGACAGUGGAACUCCAUGUGUAGCGGUGAAAUGCGUAGAUAUAUGGAAGAACACCAGUGGCGAAGGCGGCUGUCUGGUCUGUAACUGACGCUGAGGCUCGAAAGUAUGGGUAGCAAACAGGAUUAGAUACCCUGGUAGUCCAUACCGUAAACGAUGAAUGCUAAGUGUUGGAGGGUUUCCGCCCUUCAGUGCUGCAGCUAACGCAUUAAGCAUUCCGCCUGGGGAGUACGGCCGCAAGGCUGAAACUCAAAGGAAUUGACGGGGGCCCGCACAAGCGGUGGAGCAUGUGGUUUAAUUCGAAGCUACGCGAAGAACCUUACCAGGUCUUGACAUACUAUGCAAAUCUAAGAGAUUAGACGUUCCCUUCGGGGACAUGGAUACAGGUGGUGCAUGGUUGUCGUCAGCUCGUGUCGUGAGAUGUUGGGUUAAGUCCCGCAACGAGCGCAACCCUUAUUAUCAGUUGCCAGCAUUAAGUUGGGCACUCUGGUGAGACUGCCGGUGACAAACCGGAGGAAGGUGGGGAUGACGUCAAAUCAUCAUGCCCCUUAUGACCUGGGCUACACACGUGCUACAAUGGAUGGUACAACGAGUUGCGAACUCGCGAGAGUAAGCUAAUCUCUUAAAGCCAUUCUCAGUUCGGAUUGUAGGCUGCAACUCGCCUACAUGAAGUCGGAAUCGCUAGUAAUCGCGGAUCAGCAUGCCGCGGUGAAUACGUUCCCGGGCCUUGUACACACCGCCCGUCACACCAUGAGAGUUUGUAACACCCAAAGUCGGUGGGGUAACCUUUUAGGAACCAGCCGCCUAAAGGGGGA
Molecule: ribosomal RNA, 1470 nt
Filed under: Lactiplantibacillus plantarum
Lineage: Bacteria; Bacillati; Bacillota; Bacilli; Lactobacillales; Lactobacillaceae
Description: bacterial SSU rRNA
Rfam family: Bacterial small subunit ribosomal RNA
Source: RNAcentral